CGAUAGCAUUCAGUAUGCAGCGCGUUGCCCCCUCCGUCGAUUGUCGUUCUCAAUUACACAAUAUACCUUAACGGCUCCUCAUUCGCGCAGUUGCAGUGAUUUAUUUGGUGGAUUGCAAAGACAUGUUCCUUCCCGCAACACAAUAGCAAAGCACUUGCGGGCAUUGUUUGCUCUGCACUUGCUUGUCGAUACUCAACCUGCGGUCGCGGCUAUAAAGUGGGUCUGCUAUGCUAGCUUGCAGUUCACCCUGGAGGACCGAAGAAAUCCGUUGCAGUCACACACUUGCGCUCGAAAUAUUGCAACGCCUAAUUGCAUCGUCGACCACGCCACCCGACAAACACACACCACCCUGUGGGGUGUGAAGCAGCGAGAUACAACUAUUCAGCAACGCUGUUGUACCCAUGAAAUCAGCCGGGGCUCGAGAUGGACUUUAUCACCGGAAAUAAUGGCUUCCCGCUUGCGCGCGUUACCGUCAAUCGUUACCACUUGUGCUACGGGUUACAGAGCCGUGAACGUUUAAUGAUACGGUGCUUCGGUUACAAAUCUGCACAAACACCUUCAAACAAUUUUGGGAUAGAUGGUAUCUCUACACGAACCUUACGAGGAGAAAUCAAUUCCCCUGAGAAGAGUGAGAAAUUGGACGUAGCUGUCAAGGGUAAAUG
Anopheles arabiensis is the source of this 662-nucleotide long non-coding RNA. RefSeq lists it as uncharacterized. NCBI's taxonomy places the organism in Eukaryota, Metazoa, Arthropoda, Insecta, Diptera, Culicidae. The transcript has 3 exons. The record is from RefSeq and is a predicted model, not a curated record.